RNAcentral lists this long non-coding RNA (219 nucleotides) under Elaeis guineensis (African oil palm). RNAcentral's name for it is "long non-coding RNA (EGUI_LNC053770)". The record is from RNAcentral. Lineage: Eukaryota; Viridiplantae; Streptophyta; Magnoliopsida; Arecales; Arecaceae.
GACUCCCAAGGGAGCCGAACUUAGCUCCGACUUCAGCAGAGAAAAAACCCAAGCAAAAAAGGAAAGCAAACAGUGCCCGAAGGCAACGGAAGCUCGAAUCCCCGAAUUCAAGCCCUAGGAGGGACCUCAGGCCCGAAGGGCCCCAAGCGAACCUGCAACCAUCGACGGAAUGAUAAUUGGAUAUCUUCGAACGGCGUAAGAGCCGAAAAGUAGCUCGGU